This 779-nucleotide long non-coding RNA is filed under the name Homo sapiens (human). RNAcentral describes it as "non-protein coding lnc-CDX2-3:1". Lineage: Eukaryota; Metazoa; Chordata; Mammalia; Primates; Hominidae. The record is from RNAcentral.
AAAAAAAUCCCCCUAGUUUCCCAAGACAGCAUUUCCAUGAAUUUAGUCUUCUGUAAAUCACUGGGCAUUUCCGUGAGCCCUUUCUGCCUCCACUCUCUUCUCUGUCUUUGCAGUUUCCUUAUCCCCGACCGCGCCCCCCCUUCCAACCCAAUCACCCCACAAACAAGAUUUCUAGACCCAGUAUAAAAUGAUCCUUUUAGUGACAGUUUCUUGUUAUCUGGCCGAUCCACUGGGGACCGGGCUGCAGCCUUUAAAAUUUUUGAUCCUGGAGGCCGCCGAGCUGAACUUUCCGGCAGGACCCGGGCGAGGGGGGCUUAGCCCUUCGUUUCGAUCUUCCCACCAACAUCCGAGAGCCUAAUCAGCGCGCCCACGGAGGCGCCUUAAGGGCAGUUGGGGAAGAUGAGCAGAGCCGGGAAACAGCAAGAGGUAUAGACCCUCUGCAGCACCUCUCCAAUUCCGCGGCCCUUCCGGGUGGCGUAUACAGCUCCAGGAUUGGGAAAGGGGCUCCGGUGGCCCGGCCCGCGGGCGCCUGGCCUCGAAGCCAGAGGGAGGAGUGCGGGGCGUGGGGUCGGGGGGUGCCGGGCAGAGGAGGAAGCCGUGUCCGGGUCCGCUGGGCGAGGGGUCCUGGGUCAGGGGUCCUGGGUCAGGGCCGGUCUGAGCCCCGGUGCCCCGCAGGUCUCCCCGCGCCCCGGCCGCGCCCACAGGCCCGCCCCCUAGCCGCCGGGGUUGCUAUGCGUUGCCGUGAAACGCCUGUCAAUAAACCCUGUUUGGACAGUGGA